UUCCGGUUGAUCCUGCCGGACCCCACUGCUAUCGAGAUGGGACUAAGGUAUGCUAGUCGAACGACCAGAACUAUGUCUGGAAGUGGCACACUGCUCAGUAACACGUAGCUAACCUACCCUUAGGACGUGGAUACCCCCGAGAAAUUGGGGUUAAUCCGCGAUAGGUGUAAUGUCCUGGAAUGGUAUUACGCCUAAAGGUGUAUCAUACAUGUUUGAUAUACGCCUAAGGAUGGGGCUGCGGCCGAUCAGGCUGUUGGUGAGGUAAUGGCUCACCAAACCUUUGACCGGUACGGGCCAUGAGAGUGGUAGCCCGGAGAUGGACACUGAGACAAGGGUCCAGGCCCUAAGGGGCGCAGCAACCGCGAAACCUCCACAAUGCACUCACGUGCGAUGGGGCUAUCUCGAGUGCCACCUGAUGAAGGUGGCUUUUCCUAGGUCUUCAAAGCCUUGGGAAUAAGAGGGGGGCAAGACUGGUGUCAGCCGCCGCGGUAACACCAGCCCCUCGAGUGGUGGGGAUGAUUAUUUGGCCUAAAGCGUCCGUAGCCGGCCGAGCAAGUCUUCCGUUAAAUCCAGCGUCUCAAGCGUUGGACUGCGGGAGAUACUACACGGCUAGAGAGUGGGAGAGGUCAGCGGUAUUCUGGGGGUAGGGGCGAAAUCCUUUGAUCCCCGGAGGACCACCAGUGGCGAAGGCUGCUGACUAGAACACGUCUGACGGUCAGGGACGAAAGCUGGGGUAGCGAACCGGAUUUAAUACCCGGGUAGUCCCAGCCGUAAACGAUGCAUGCUAGGUGUUGGGUUGGCCACGAGCCACCCCAGUGCC
Molecule: ribosomal RNA, 820 nt
Filed under: uncultured archaeon
Lineage: Archaea
Description: bacterial SSU rRNA
Rfam family: Archaeal small subunit ribosomal RNA
Source: RNAcentral